GCCGGGUGCAGUGGUGCACGCCUGUAAUCCCAGCAGCUCAGGAGGCCGAGACAGGAGGAUUGCCAGUUCAAAGCUAGCUGCAGCAAUGGCCAGGUGCUAAGCAACUCAGUGAGAUCCUGUCUCUA
RNAcentral lists this small RNA (125 nucleotides) under Marmota monax (woodchuck). The record is from RNAcentral. Lineage: Eukaryota; Metazoa; Chordata; Mammalia; Rodentia; Sciuridae.